GGUUUGCGACUUUCCACACAAAAGAUUAGCAAGAUCCUUACGCAAAGAUUGUCAAUGAUGGUUGAUUAUUACUAGAUCAUAUGCUAAUCUUUACAGUAUUUAUUAUUUUUAAUAUAUGUAGACUCAUUUAUUAUUAGUUACUAUUAGAAUACAAGGAAGUCGUUAAAAGUACACAUACAUUUUAAAUUCGCGCCUUUAUUUCAUGCACAUAUGACCACCAAGCAUGCGUAUAGGCCGCGAAGCAUGUACAUAUGACUGUAGAGCAUGCGCACAUGGCCGCGGAGAGUGCUCUUGUCGCUACAUUUCGUCGAUAUGACCACAGACUUCUAUAAUAUACUAGACUGCUAGGCUCGUUAUAUAUUCUCCAUUUAGUGUGUACCCGAAAAGUAUGUACAAAUAGGAGCUCAUAGGCGGCAGACUGAAUUACCGAUUGGAAUGUGGCUAAUAUUUUAUAGUCCUACGACUAUGGAUUACUAAAGGAGUGAGUGAGAUGUAUGAUACAAUAUAUACAUAUAUUAUGUGAUUAUGAGAGCGUUCUCCUUGGACGCUUAUGCGUACUUAUGCGUUAAACGUAUCAUUCUUUUGCUCUUGUAAUAUAAAAGAAAAAGAUAAAAUGACAAUAACCAAGCAACUAUAUGUGACAUUUAUUGGCAUAUAUAUAUGUACAUAUACAUCCCACUUGACGAACAAUGUACAUACAUAGUAGAUGACACAUUCCGAUCGGUUAUUCAGUCAUGUACAACAUGUACAUUAUAUACUGGUACGCCUAGGGAAUCAAGGUUAGCAGUCUAGUAUAUUAUAGAAGUCUGUGGAUAUGACAGAUUUUUUAUAACCUGAAUAUUCGACAAAUUUUACGAUUAUUAUUUCGCUUUCCGGGGCAGAGCGACGCUUUUUUUUGCCAGAUUCGUUCGUUUGAAGCAAAACUGUAUCGAAUAAGCACAACUACAUCGAUAUUUGAAUACCAGUGCCUAAACUAAAUAAUUACC
This is a long non-coding RNA of Monomorium pharaonis (pharaoh ant), 986 nucleotides long. RefSeq lists it as uncharacterized. The record is from RefSeq and is a predicted model, not a curated record. The transcript is spliced from 2 exons. Lineage: Eukaryota; Metazoa; Arthropoda; Insecta; Hymenoptera; Formicidae.